UUCCACAAGAAAGAUUGAUCUUUUGUUAGUAUUAUUGUUUGUUUUUUUAAGAAUACCCAAAAACCUCUUAAUACAAUUAAUUUUUAAUAUGUGAAUAAAGACAGUAUGUCAAAACAUUUAAAACUCCUUCAGCUACAGAAUUUAAAAGAACAGAUUUAUUUAUUUUUUUCUAUUUUCUGUGCGAAAUUUUUAAAUCCUCCCAAAAGUCCCAUUUUGGAAUUUCAAGGGAAUCUUGCCCAGAUCAGAACAGAAGCGCUUUACAGACAUCUACUGGUGAAAAAGAGGCUGUCUGGUUCGGUUUCAUUCCUAACACUUUCAUGUCAUGUAUGACAUGCUAUAAAUAUCACUGGCUCAAAAGCAAUUCAUAUUUUCAUUGAUAACUGGUAAAAUGUUUUCUUGUUAUAUAGUUCUUCCCUAGUUUCACAAUUCUAAACAGAAAAUACAAAAUGUUUUUAUUCAAACUUCAGAAGUUUUCUUCUUGUUCUCCUGAGGCAUUUACAACAAUUUGUGACAUCAACUCUUGAAAUGGCCCUGGAAGAAAACGAAGAGCUGAAGACUCAACUUGCGCAGAUCAAGCUUGAAUACGACAAGCAGUUUAUGGAAACGGGCAAGGAAAUUUUCAAAUUGUCUCACAAAACCAAGGCUCUGGAGCAAAAAGUGCAACAACUGACCGAAAAGCUGAAGAACAUAGAGAAGAAAAAGGAAAGGCAGCUGGACUCAGACAAGCCACGGAGUGAGAUGUCUCUCUUAAAAUGUUUCACCAUAGGCUUCGGCUUAGGCCUUGCAUGUGUUGUGGUACUCGAGACCGGUCUUGAUGUCGAGAUCGGUUUCAGGAGCUUUUUUUGAUGGACUCGGGCAUUGACCACUCAGGAUUGUAUUACAGCUGUGGAAAUAUCAAAAAAUUGCCAGCA
Long non-coding RNA from Gambusia affinis (western mosquitofish), 911 nucleotides. RefSeq lists it as uncharacterized. Lineage: Eukaryota; Metazoa; Chordata; Actinopteri; Cyprinodontiformes; Poeciliidae. The transcript is spliced from 2 exons. The record is from RefSeq and is a predicted model, not a curated record.